GUGCUCGCAUCAGCAGCACAUGUACUAAAAUUGAAAUGAUACAGAGUAGAUUAGCAUGGCCCCAGUGUAAGGAUGACAUGCAAAUUCGUAAGCAUCCAUAUUUUUUA
This 107-nucleotide small nuclear RNA is filed under the name Choloepus hoffmanni (Hoffmann's two-fingered sloth). Lineage: Eukaryota; Metazoa; Chordata; Mammalia; Pilosa; Megalonychidae. The record is from RNAcentral.